UUCCGUCAUGUGCUUCUUCAUUGAUAGU
This 28-nucleotide non-coding RNA is filed under the name Mus musculus (house mouse). The record is from RNAcentral. Lineage: Eukaryota; Metazoa; Chordata; Mammalia; Rodentia; Muridae.